RNAcentral lists this ribosomal RNA (497 nucleotides) under uncultured bacterium. RNAcentral describes it as "partial 16S ribosomal RNA". It matches the Rfam family "Bacterial small subunit ribosomal RNA", at positions 28 to 507 of the family's 1533-position model. The record is from RNAcentral.
GAUGAACGCUGGCGGCGUGCCUAAUACAUGCAAGUCGAGCGAACGGACUAGAAGCUUGCUUCCCUGAUGUUAGCGGCGGACGUGUGAGUAACACGUGGAUAACCUACCUAUAAGACUGGGAUAACUUCGUGAAACCGGAGCUCAUACCGUAUUAUAUUUUGAUCCUCAUUGUUCAAAAGUGAAAGAUUGUCUUGCUGUCACUUAUAGCUGCAUCCUCGCUGUAUUAGCUAGUUGGUAAGGUAACGGCUUACCAAGGCAAUGAUGCAUAGCCGACCGGAGAGGGGGAUCGGCCACACGGGAACUGAGCCACGGUCAAGACUCCUACGGGAGGCAGCAGUAGGGAAUCUUCCGCAAUGGGCGAAAGCCUGACGGAGCAACGCGGCGUGAGUGAUGAAGGUCUUCGGAUCGUAAAACUCUGUUAUUAGGGAAGACCAGAUGUGUAAGUAACUGUGCACAUCUUGACGGUACCUAAUCAGAAAGCCACGGCUAACUACGUG